This 726-nucleotide ribosomal RNA is filed under the name Neoplecostomus ribeirensis. Its description in RNAcentral is "partial 12S ribosomal RNA". It matches the Rfam family "Bacterial small subunit ribosomal RNA", at positions 306 to 1407 of the family's 1533-position model. Lineage: Eukaryota; Metazoa; Chordata; Actinopteri; Siluriformes; Loricariidae. The record is from RNAcentral.
AGCCCAAGACGCCUUGCUCAGCCACACCCCCAAGGGAACUCAGCAGUAAUAAACAUUAAGCCAUAAGUGAAAACUUGACUUAGUUAGGAUUAAGAGGGUCGGUAAAAUUCGUGCCAGCCACCGCGGUUAUACGAAAGACCCUAGUUUAUAGGCACGGCGUAAAGGGUGGUUAUGGAACGGAUAAAAUAAAGCUAAAGACCCCCAGAGCCGUCAUACGCCCACGAGGGCACGAAACCCGAAUACGAAAGUAGCUUUACCAAACAAUGCCCGACCCCACGAAAGCUGGGAAACAAACUGGGAUUAGAUACCCCACUAUGCCCAGCCCUAAACCUAGAUGAAAACUUACAAAACCAUCCGCCAGGGGACUACAAGCACAGCUUAAAACCCAAAGGACUUGGCGGUGCCUCAGACCCACCUAGAGGAGCCUGUUCUAGAACCGAUAACCCCCGUUAAACCUCACCACCUCUUGUCUUCCCCGCCUAUAUACCGCCGUCGUCAGCUUACCCUGUGAAGGCCCAACAGUAAGCAAAAUGAGCUCAGCCCAAAACGUCAGGUCGAGGUGUAGCGCACGAGGUGGGAAGAAAUGGGCUACAUUUUCUACCACAGAAUACCACGAAUAGCACCCUGAAACAUGAUGCCUGAAGGAGGAUUUAGUAGUAAAAAGCAAAUAGAGUGUCCUUUUGAAUUAGGCUCUGAGGCGCGCACACACCGCCCGUCACUCUCCCC